UAUAACUCUUACCAAUUAUACACAAUACAUCAAUUUAGCAAGUGGACUUGAAAUGAAUUAAAGGUGAUAGCAACCAACGUGUUGCAUCAAUUGAUUAGUUAAAACAUCAAACAUGCAUGUAAUUUAAGCCAAGCCGCUAAUGAGCUUGUCCUGUUAUUUAAAAAAUCAAAGCAGAUAAAGAAAUACUCAAAAGAAGGAAAAGUAGUAAAUUAAUUUGAUUCUUAUUCUCUUUCUACGUACAACUGUAGUCAAAUGUAUGAUUUGGCAUCCAAGAACCCCUGUUUUCUUCUCAUUUUACAAUGAAAGAUUGGGCUGCUCCGCUCAUUGCCGCCGCGCUGUUUGCAUUUCUAGCGCCGGGACUGCUGUUUCAACUUCCAGGAAAGCAUAAACCGUUCGAGUUUAUGAACAUGAAGACUACUAUACUCUCCAUGUUUUUGCACACUGUCCUUUAUGGUUUGCUUCUUAUUCUGUUCCUUGUAGUUCUUGACAUCCAUCUUUACGCCUAAGAGCUAGCUAGCUACUCCAUGAACUUACCAAGUAUUAAAGUUUUUUCUCUUGUACUUAAAUUUAUAUGUGUACUCAUCAUCAUGUUGCUGCCAUUACUCCUCUAGCUAGUUUGUUUUCUUUCUUGUGUGGUUUUUCUUACUAAAGCAGGCAAGCAGCAGAGUUCUGUGAGUCAAAUCAGAUUUUAGGUGUUCUUUAUGUUCAUGCCGAGUUAAUGGAAAACUUGAAAUUAUGGCUUUUAGCAUGUCUAGAAAACUAACUCAACUACGACUGACCUUAAAAUAAGCCAUCAUCCCAACUACUUAUAUAUAAAAGUAAAAGGCACAUAAGGGGAGGUGUCAGUAUUCCAGACAUCACAGGGAGGGGAGCAAUUGCAGAUUUUUUUUUUUUUUUUGCACUUGCAGAUUUGUUAAUCAUGCUAAGAAUAAGACGUAUGUGCAACCAAAAAAGGGUUGAUCUAUUUGAUAUAUUAC
Molecule: long non-coding RNA, 977 nt
Filed under: Panax ginseng (ginseng)
Lineage: Eukaryota; Viridiplantae; Streptophyta; Magnoliopsida; Apiales; Araliaceae
Description: long non-coding RNA (PGIN_LNC005758)
Source: RNAcentral